Long non-coding RNA from Hipposideros armiger (great roundleaf bat), 1219 nucleotides. RefSeq lists it as uncharacterized. The record is from RefSeq and is a predicted model, not a curated record. NCBI's taxonomy places the organism in Eukaryota, Metazoa, Chordata, Mammalia, Chiroptera, Hipposideridae. The transcript has 3 exons.
CCGUCGGCCGCCCUGUCUCGGGGGCUCGAGCCGUGUCAGCGCUGGGAGGCCGGCGAGCGCCCGCCCGCCUCCGCCACCCCGGAGGCGGGAGGGGCGGGUCGCAGGCGAGCGCGCCGAUGGCGCCCUUAUCCUGGAUGUCCUUGCCGUGAUCGUGGGCCGCUGAGCCUCCAGAAGCCCCAGCACGUCUAGGGUCCCCCGCGUGCCUGGCAACGUGCCUGCGUCUCCUUCCUUCUCGGGGCCGCGAAGGUGAAGUUUCGCGCUGUGAGUCUGCACCGAGCUCCGGGUUGAACCCGGCCUCCCAGCGUUAAAAUAGUGCGGUGAUGAACACCAUUGAUGAUACGUCCUUGGAAGCGGCUGAGUAUUUCCUCAGGGUAAAUUCCUAGAAGACACCAUCGACCAAAGGCUAGCAUGCAUUUUGCCAAAAUGCCUUCCAGAAACGCCGCCAUGGUGCUGUCCGCCCUCGGGUGGGUGAGUGGGCCUGAACUGGGCCUUCCUUCUCUGCCGUCUCUGGCAGUCUCAUGGGAGUUAGCGAUGCUGUCAUAAUUAAAGACGCUCAAUUGAUCAUAAUUAAAGACGCUCAAUUGACAGAAGACACCAUUUCCCACUGGAGGAAGGUUGAUGGUCCCCAGUAGGAGGUCAACUUAUGCACCCGGUCCUGUCUGUGGAAUGUGAGAUGCUGGAUCACACUUCAAGGAAUCCAUCCUGAGGUCCUGCUCACUGUGCGUCCAGGCGCGUCUCUACAAAGACUGUUCUUCGCUUCUCAAAGCAAAAAACCGGAAACGACCAAAUUGAGGGGGACUGUGAAAAAUGAUGUCACAUCUACGCCCGGCUGAGCCUCUGGUGGAAAGAAUGAGGUCUGUCUGGGCCCACUGGGAGCAGGUCACGGAAAGCCUCAUCCAGGUAUGCUCUCAGUGGGGGUGGUGGGGUAUCAUGUGACCUGCUCUCUGGCCAAUGGAUGCACAGAUUCAUUGUCCUGUCUGGGCCUGAGAGCAGCCCUCUGAGGAGUGGCCUGGGGUGGGGGUCGGCAAGGAGGUGUUUUAUUGUUCCUUUUAUACUGUUUCAGUUUUUAAAAUCAUGAGCAUUGCUUUUGUAUGUAAAAAAAGGAACUCUCAUGAAAUGUUUAAUGGGAAUGUUAAUAUAUGAAUGUUAAUGUAUGCAAAUGAAGUUAUAUGCAUAUUGCACCCAGAGCCAGGGGAAAAUAAAUGCUGACUCGAUGGGA